CCGCCAUCCUGGUUCUGGAGCAAGCGGGGAAAGACCACCCCGGGGUAUGGGUAGGAAGGUGAAGGUGCCGCCCCAGGAAGUGAGGAAAGCUGGUGAGACUGAGGCGCCUUCCAGGACCUAUGCCUAUUUACUGUCUCUGGAGCUCAUUGAGGCAGAUGGGUUGGUUGGUUGGUUUUAAAGUUUGUCUUUUGAUCAGAUGAAGUUAAAAUUUUGUUAUUCCAAUGGGUUAAAAAAAAAAAAAAGAUUUAAGAAUAUCACAGCUUCCCAGAGUUUCAACGAAGGAACACUGGAGGCUGAUCUCCACAAGUCAAGCUUCCCUGCCAAGUUUCCUGGAUGAGAAACCAACUGAGGAGAAGGAAGCUGUCUUGGCAAAUUAGUGGCAGACCUAUGUUUAGGUCAAAUUACGGAGAACUGAUUGGAGAGGGACCAGGCGGAUGAAAACAGGAAGGAAGUGAGGGCCCUGUGGGGCUUUAAAGAAACCUCUCAGCUCCACGUUAUGUGAGUUUCUUGAGGGCUGAGUCUGUCUUCUUGCUUUAUCUCCAGCUCCUGGCAGGUAGAGCUUUGAGGACCUGGAGAAACGUGAAGCUUUGCUGUGGCAGCCUGCUACACACAGAUGUAACCUGAGAGGACCUUGCUUCCGCUGUACUUCAUAUCUCAGGGCUUCUCUGCCACUGCAGUCUGGACCCCUGCAAGAAGCCACAGCCCAUUCGAACAUAAACCUGGAAGUACAAAGGAAUUAACACGUCCUUGGACAACCUCUAACCAAAGCGAACAGAAGCUAGUGGAGAAAUGUUCCACUCUUCCGUGGGCAGUUACGAGGUACAUUUUGUACAGCACCUAAGAUGACAGAACCCUGGCUGCCCGUGGUAGUGUCCAACUUAAUCAGCUCAGUAAUCCACCCUUGGAUUGCCUUUUUCUUUCCUGCCUUGACUGUUUGACUCUUCCUAGUCCUCCAGUCCUGUUCCUUGGGAUUCAUUCCCCAAAUAAACUUCCUGAUACAAA
Capra hircus (goat) is the source of this 1002-nucleotide long non-coding RNA. RefSeq lists it as uncharacterized. The transcript has 2 exons. NCBI's taxonomy places the organism in Eukaryota, Metazoa, Chordata, Mammalia, Artiodactyla, Bovidae. The record is from RefSeq and is a predicted model, not a curated record.